Molecule: ribosomal RNA, 424 nt
Filed under: uncultured prokaryote
Also listed under: 1 other name
Description: bacterial SSU rRNA
Rfam family: Bacterial small subunit ribosomal RNA
Source: RNAcentral
UGAGGAAUAUUGGUCAAUGGAGGCAACUCUGAACCAGCCAUGCCGCGUGCAGGAUGACGAUCCUAUGGAUUGUAAACUGCUUUUGUACAGGAAGAAAUGUAGUUACGUGUAACUAUUUGACGGUACUGUAAGAAUAAGGACCGGCUAACUCCGUGCCAGCAGCCGCGGUAAUACGGAGGGUCCGAGCGUUAUCCGGAAUUAUUGGGUUUAAAGGGUUCGUAGGCGGCCUUGUAAGUCAGUGGUGAAAUCUCCUAGCUUAACUAGGAAAUUGCCGUUGAUACUGUGAGGCUUGAAUCAUUAGGAAGUAACUAGAAUAUGUAGUGUAGCGGUGAAAUGCUUAGAUAUUACAUGGAAUACCAAUUGCGAAGGCAGGUUACUACUAAUGUAUUGACGCUGAUGAACGAAAGCGUGGGUAGCGAACAGG